CCAGUUCUUGGGCUCUAACUCAGAUUAUCUGCAUCAGGUUCUUUGAAGAUGAGGCCACUUCCGCAUUGUUAAGAAGUUCCAUGGAUUCUCAUGCACGGUAAAGUUGAAGAAUCACUGUUCUCCACGAUUUUGUGUCUGUACUGGAGAAGUUGGCUCAGAGAUGAAGAAGUAACUGGAACACAAUCAUCUGGCAAAAUCAACUGAGAAAAAUGGAAAAAAAGUACCACCUGGCUUCCUUGCUAGUAAUAUUUUUAGUGGCAAUAAUACCCAAAUAAUGUGGAUCCCAAUCAAGGCUGUCAAAUAAACACAUUGCUAGGAGGAUCACCUCAACCUGUAGGAACUUCCUUCCUGCCAAGAAGCUGGUUCAUUCAUCACCAAGCAUCAUCAUCAUGGAAUUCUCACCCUGCUGGAGGUUCGAGCCAAGACAUAGAAAGAGGACAUUACCUGGGGCAGGAAUCAAUUGCCUAUCACUGGGGAUGCCUGCAGAUCAUUGUCCAGAGUGGCUGCUGUUCACUGAGUGUUUCCUCUGUGCCGGGCACCUUGCACACCUUAUUUUCAGUCUCCGCAGCUGCCUUGUUGAGGGAACACCACAUCACAAGGUCUGUGGGAGUUGGAGAAAACUCUCGCUGACUCCCUGAAUAUAGUCCCAGUGGGAACCACCUUGGGGAGAGGCUCUGUCCAGCUGAACCCUCCAGUGCACAGUAUGCUUGGCUGCAGAGGCUUGGAGUGAGAGAGGAGACCAGGGUCCAGCUUCUCGGACAGCACUCACUGGGGUAGGUUGUGUCUGGCACAUUUUCAGCAACUGCUUUCAAAGUAAUAAUAAUAGGAAUUAUAAUCUAAAAAGAAUGGCUUCCACAUGUCGCUCUGCUUGUUUAAAAUCCAGGUUCACAGCCCUACUUCUUGAAUUCCCAAUUAAGAAGCGUCUGAAGGAAUCCAGUGAUCUCUGUAUUUAACUAUCUUUCAGAAUAAUUUAUCAGCAACUAACUACGACAUUUGAAAAUCACUGAUCUAAAAAUGUCAACAUCCUGUUCACAGACAUUUCAAAGUUUCCUGAAAUAAUAGUUCAAGACUUUCUUUUAGAGUGACUCCCCUAUGAUACAAAGCAAAUGCACGUAUAUGAAAGUAUAUAAUGACCAGAAUAGUCUGGUAAUCCAGUGAGUAUCUAUGAUGUGCUAGGCACUGCACAGAAAAGUUUACAGGCAUUACUGCAUUUAAUCCUUUCUGCAGAUUUUAUGGGGAGAGGGUUAUGAAUGCACCCAU
Molecule: long non-coding RNA, 1260 nt
Filed under: Homo sapiens (human)
Lineage: Eukaryota; Metazoa; Chordata; Mammalia; Primates; Hominidae
Description: HSALNT0370692
Source: RNAcentral